This 419-nucleotide ribosomal RNA is filed under the name Pyxine cognata. Its description in RNAcentral is "SSU rRNA". It matches the Rfam family "Bacterial small subunit ribosomal RNA", at positions 366 to 746 of the family's 1533-position model. Lineage: Eukaryota; Fungi; Ascomycota; Lecanoromycetes; Caliciales; Caliciaceae. The record is from RNAcentral.
GGUCAAUAGCCUAACGGCUGAACCAGCAACUUGAAGGAAUGUAUAGCGAAAGCUAGUUGUGCUUACAGUUCUAGGUUUCUUCCUAAAAAUUUUUAGGAAGAAAUAAGAAAAGGGUAGGUGCAAUAUUGACUCGAUCAAAUAAAGUUCUAGCUAGAGUUAUGAUGAUGACAUACUCUAUCUAUGUGUCUUGACCAAAUUACGUGCCAGCAGUCGCGGUAAUACGUAAAAGACUAGUGUUAUUCAUCUUUAAUGGGUUUAAAGGGUACCUAGACGGCUAAGAAAGCUCCAAAAGAGUACUAAUUAGCUAGAGUUUGAUGUAAAGAGGCAAUAAAGUACUGAUAGUAUAGAGAUGAAAUUCUACGAUACUAUAUAUGGCACUGGUAUUAGCGAAGUGCGUCCUCUUAUGUAAUAACUGACGU